Non-coding RNA from Mycena leptocephala, 89 nucleotides. Lineage: Eukaryota; Fungi; Basidiomycota; Agaricomycetes; Agaricales; Mycenaceae. The record is from the annotation of a GenBank genome assembly.
UCGGGUGUCGUGCAAGAUGCACGGCGGCUUUUGGUAAUUGUCUGCAGUUGCGGCAGCCGCAGAUCGGGGUUCGACUCCCCGCACUCGAC